Oreochromis aureus is the source of this 830-nucleotide long non-coding RNA. NCBI's taxonomy places the organism in Eukaryota, Metazoa, Chordata, Actinopteri, Cichliformes, Cichlidae. The record is from Ensembl.
GGGGAGGAGACCGGAGGCGAGGGACAGGCGGAGCAGGCAGGAGUCGGGAGAAAUGUUGAGUCAGUGUGUGUGAGGAGGACGGAGGUAACUGCUGGUCUCGCUGGAUUCUCUCACUGAACAGGUGCACGGCGCUUCCGCCGCUGUCCUCUGCGGGUGUCCAAACGUUUACGCGGAGCUGCCCCGGUGAGCUCCGACGCACCGGUGACUCACACAAGGAGGAGGUUGGGCCUCUCCAAAGCUACCAGGAAGCUUCUCAGCACACACUUUCUGUCUGAUGACAAGUCUCAGCGCUCGACACCAGGAUUUGGAAUUUUUGUUUAACCAAAAGAAAAAACAUUCUUUCUUGAAAUGCGACAACGUCUUGCAGUCGUUACAGUCCUGUAGGGUUUAAAGACUCAUCAUCGCUGUGUGCUCUGUCACCAAGGUGUAAACAGAACUACAGAGCUGCAGCUGAGGGGCACUGGUAGCCCUGAAUAAUCGCCCCUCGAUUGAAGGCGCCAAAAAGGCUUUUUCUUGGAUUGUCAGGACAUUAUUAAAGGAGUGUACUGAGACUGAAACUUUAACCAAAAUAACACCCAGGAGGAAGCAGUGAAGGAGAAAAGAGGGCUGGAAGAGGAAGGAAUAGAGGAGACUGAAGGGCAGAUGGCUUCACUGCUCGAAAACACAAACAGCUGGAUGAAUAAAACAUUUGAGUAGAGAGCGAGUCGUGACAUCUGGCUGAGGAGUGAGUGACUCGCGUUGCCGCUCUCCUUCUUUCUCCUUGUUCACUUCACUCUUUUCACUGACCUACAUCCUUGUCUUCUUCACCCCCUCCCAUCCAUCUUUCUUUU